Molecule: ribosomal RNA, 478 nt
Filed under: uncultured bacterium
Lineage: Bacteria
Description: bacterial SSU rRNA
Rfam family: Bacterial small subunit ribosomal RNA
Source: RNAcentral
AGUGAACGUUGGCGGCGUGCCUAACACAUGCAAGUCGAACGAGAACCGAGUAGCUUGCUACUCGGGGAAAGUGGCGAACGGGUGAGUAACACGUGAGCAAUCUGCCCUCGAGUGAGGAAUAACCCCGCGAAAGCGGGGCUAAUACCGCAUGAUGCUCUGGAGCAUAAGCUUUCAGAGUUAAAGCCCCUAGGGGCGCUUGAGGAUGAGCUUGCGUCCUAUUAGCUUGUUGGUAGGGUAAUGGCCUACCAAGGUUAUGAUGGGUAGCCGGCCUGAGAGGGUGUCCGGCCACACUGGAACUGGGACACGGUCCAGACUCCUNACGGGAGGCAGCAGUGAGGAAUUUUGCGCAAUGGGCGAAAGCCUGACGCAGCGACGCCGCGUGGAGGAUGAAGGCUUUCGGGUUGUAAACUCCUGUCAGAGGUGAAGAAAACCCCCUUAGGGGGGCUUGACGGUAACCUCAGAGAAGCCCCGCUAACUA